AUAUCUAUGCUCCAACUUGAGGGGGAGUGUUGACAGAUGUUAUUGUAUGUACCGUACACAGAUUUAGUGCCCGCAGGGGUAUUUUUGUAAUUUCUAUACCACUUGUGUUGUACGGCCAGUAUAGUAUAAAUACAAAUGCUUCACUCGCAUGAAGCAAGUUCUCUUGAGGCAUUAAGUCUGCCAGCCUCCUCUCUUCUUUCUUCUCCUUCUUCCUUCUUCUCUUUCUCUUCUUUCUCUUGCUCAACACUUACCAAGGUUAAAAGUAUGAAUAUGAUGUGCCCCAUAUUGGGCAAUCAUAUUGUACCUUUUGAUGCCUGAUAUGAAGAAAAAAAAUGAGAGUUUUGGUCAAUACAAAAUGCUCGAUACGCAAAUUCUAUGCAUCAAGUGUAUUGAUACUUUGAACCAUGGUCUUGACCAAAACUCUUGUUUAUUUUUUUGGUGUUAGAUUUUGAAAGGGGCAUUAUGAUAUUGUCCCUUAACAUGCAAAAUUAUUAAAAUCUGCUAAAUCCCUUUAAAUAGUGUAUUGGGACCAUAAGAUACAAUACAAUAUGCCUGAUAUGGGAUGUAUAAUAUCAAUAUUUUGACCCUUGGAUUUCAUAUUGAUCAUAGCCGUUCCUUGUCCUUUCAGUUCUUUAGAUCUAAUUAAAAAGGAGGAAGAGGAUUGUGACCAAUCCAAAAAGAAACAAAGCAUAAAGAGGAUGUAUGGGUGGGGUAUAUAAGCCAAACAUUGCAACUUUCCUCGCUCAGGGCAGGGAUAAGACAUCAAUGAGUUAAUGGCUUUAUGCUGGGUAAUUUCAUUUGCAAGUUAGCAAUUAAAUUGUUGGUUUGGCUUGUGGAAUUUAAAUUGUCCAAAAAAAAAAUCUGGUUUGCCUUGUUCUCUUAGACUAUAUAGUGUGCUAAUUCAUGGUACUAAGCAAGGCAUGUGUUAUUGAACUAAACUGAUUUUUUUUGCUCCCCAUGGACCAUCUUUAUACGAGAGAUGCAUCCAAGAGUUGGAAGCAAUCUGGCUCUGAUGGAAAUAGCCGCUUGACCAUCAAGGAGUCCUCAGCAAACAUACUCUUGUUGGAUUAUAUUUCAUCUGAGAAAUGGAAGGAUAUUGUAGAUUUUGAUGACCACCUUGAUGACAUUAGCAAGGACUGGUUGAACGAAGAUCUUUUCAAGUAGUACACUCGAGCCAUUUUUUUAAAUGUCUUCUGCUCUUAUUAUCAACACUGCAAAUUGUUUGCUGCAUGGGUUUGCUUGUGCUGGAUUGGGAAGACAUAAUGAUUACUGACAAAGCGAGAGUUAUUACAGGCUUAACGGAGCUCUUGGCCUAUGUGGAGGGAAAGCUGCCUAAGAAUGUUCUUGAUCAGAACCGGUUGUAUAUUUCCCUUCCUUUAGACAGUAAGCCCAGAAAGAUGAUCUUCUCUAUAUCAAACAGCGAGUGGUGGCAUUGAUCCAUCAUUUUGAACA
Non-coding RNA from Nelumbo nucifera (sacred lotus), 1452 nucleotides. Lineage: Eukaryota; Viridiplantae; Streptophyta; Magnoliopsida; Proteales; Nelumbonaceae. The record is from RefSeq and is a predicted model, not a curated record.